GAGAAGGAGAGUGAACGUCUUGGAGCUCAAAUAGAAACAUAGCAACGUGUUGCACGGUCUGUAAUCAGUCAUCCUUUUAACAUAUUAAUGAAGCAGUAGAAAGAAAAAUAAAGAACAUUUCAUCCUUCAAACCAAGGACUUGCCAUGUCUUAUCAUUACAAUGAAGCCUUUGAAAAUCCAGACUACCACUUCUCAGAGACAUUGGAAAUUGAUAGAAGAGGGAGCUCUCAGAGGAACCCAUUCUCUCACCAAACUCCUCAUGAUUCAUCUCAGUCUGAUUACUAUGGAGAGCACAGAGGCAGGGAGCAGAACUACCCUGUGGCCAUCCCAAUGUCUUCCCUGGGCCCUGGCUCUGACUACAGCCACGAUUUACCCAGCACAAGCCCAUAUGGAAAUUUCACAGAAAAUCUUUCCUUUGAGCCUGAGCCAGAACUGACUUACACCCCACAUUCUACCUCCCAUAUGCUGGAUUAUCCCUACACUCAUGGAAUUUCCAGUGGAUCAGAGGGUAAGGAUUGUGGUGCAUCACAAUAUUGCAUGUCAGUCUUGCCCUCCAUAAAAUAAUACUAAUAAAUAUUUUAAAGCCUUCUUGUUCA
Molecule: long non-coding RNA, 596 nt
Filed under: Zonotrichia albicollis (white-throated sparrow)
Lineage: Eukaryota; Metazoa; Chordata; Aves; Passeriformes; Passerellidae
Description: lncRNA (ENSZALG00000016054.1)
Source: RNAcentral